RNAcentral lists this ribosomal RNA (432 nucleotides) under uncultured bacterium. RNAcentral describes it as "bacterial SSU rRNA". It matches the Rfam family "Bacterial small subunit ribosomal RNA", at positions 30 to 459 of the family's 1533-position model. The record is from RNAcentral.
AUUGAACGCUGGCGGCAUGCCUUACACAUGCAAGUCGAACGGCAGCACGGGUGCUUGCACCUGGUGGCGAGUGGCGAACGGGUGAGUAAUAUAUCGGAACAUACCCUAGAGUGGGGGAUAACGUAGCGAAAGUUACGCUAAUACCGCAUACGAACUAAGGUUGAAAGUGGGGGAUCGCAAGACCUCAUGCUCAUGGAGUGGCCGAUAUCUGAUUAGCUAGUUGGUGAGGUAAAGGCUCACCAAGGCGACGAUCAGUAGCUGGUUUGAGAGAACGACCAGCCACACUGGAACUGAGACACGGUCCAGACUCCUACGGGAGGCAGCAGUGGGGAAUUUUGGACAAUGGGCGCAAGCCUGAUCCAGCAAUGCCGCGUGCAGGAUGAAGGCCUUCGGUUGGUAACGUAGCUUUUGUUACGGUAACGAACGGUAGAG